GAUGAACGCUGGCGGCGUGCCUAAUACAUGCAAGUCGAGCGAACAGACGAGGAGCUUGCUCCUCUGACGUUAGCGGCGGACGGGUGAGUAACACGUGGAUAACCUACCUAUAAGACUGGGAUAACUUCGGGAAACCGGAGCUAAUACCGGAUAAUAUAUUGAACCGCAUGGUUCAAUAGUGAAAGACGGUUUUGCUGUCACUUAUAGAUGGAUCCGCGCCGCAUUAGCUAGUUGGUAAGGUAACGGCUUACCAAGGCGACGAUGCGUAGCCGACCUGAGAGGGUGAUCGGCCACACUGGAACUGAGACACGGUCCAGACUCCUACGGGAGGCAGCAGUAGGGAAUCUUCCGCAAAGGGCGAAAGCCUGACAGAGCAACGCCGCGUGAGUGAUGAAGGUCUUCGGAUCGUAAAACUCUGUUAUUAGGGAAGAACAAAUGUGUAAGUAACCAUGCACGUCUUGACGGUACCUAAUCAGAAAGCCACGGCUAACUACGUG
This 497-nucleotide ribosomal RNA is filed under the name uncultured bacterium. Its description in RNAcentral is "partial 16S ribosomal RNA". It matches the Rfam family "Bacterial small subunit ribosomal RNA", at positions 28 to 507 of the family's 1533-position model. The record is from RNAcentral.